Non-coding RNA from Camelina sativa (false flax), 281 nucleotides. Lineage: Eukaryota; Viridiplantae; Streptophyta; Magnoliopsida; Brassicales; Brassicaceae. The record is from RefSeq and is a predicted model, not a curated record.
CGAUAUCCAACAGCUGUUACUUGAAAAGGGAAGCAGGUGUUCAGCCUCCCCUUUGUCCUUCUGGUGAUGACCCAGAUGCAACUUGGAACGUCUCAAUGAAGGCUUGUAUAUCACCUUACUCAGUGAGGAUGCAUAAAGAAAGAUGGAGUGGACUCGUUCCCUGGCCACGGAGGCUUACAGCUCCUCCACCACGUCUUGAAGAAGUCGGUGUCACUCCCGAGCAAUUCCGUGAAGAUACGGAAACAUGGCGUCUUAGAGUGAUAGAAUACUGGAAACUGUUG